This 125-nucleotide ribosomal RNA is filed under the name uncultured eukaryote. RNAcentral's name for it is "partial 18S ribosomal RNA". It matches the Rfam family "Eukaryotic small subunit ribosomal RNA", at positions 1299 to 1443 of the family's 1831-position model. The record is from RNAcentral.
UGGUGGAGCGAUUUGUCUGGUUAAUUCCGAUAACGAACGAGACUCUGGCCUAUUAAAUAGUUCGCCGAUUCCGAUCUGUCGGCGUUAACUUCUUAGAGGGACAAGUGGCUUUUAGCCACGCGAGU